This 76-nucleotide transfer RNA is filed under the name Caudoviricetes sp. Its description in RNAcentral is "tRNA-Arg". It matches the Rfam family "tRNA". Rfam says of the family: Transfer RNA (tRNA) molecules are approximately 80 nucleotides in length. Their secondary structure includes four short double-helical elements and three loops (D, anti-codon, and T loops). Lineage: Duplodnaviria; Heunggongvirae; Uroviricota; Caudoviricetes. The record is from RNAcentral.
GCCCCGUUAGUUCAAACGGAAGAACAGUGGCCUUCUAAGCCAUAGGUUACAGGUUCGAGUCCUGUACGGGGUGCCA